Molecule: long non-coding RNA, 1082 nt
Filed under: Corvus moneduloides (New Caledonian crow)
Lineage: Eukaryota; Metazoa; Chordata; Aves; Passeriformes; Corvidae
Description: lncRNA (ENSCMUG00000018386.1)
Source: RNAcentral
UGGGGGAUCCAUGACGGGGGGAUGGAGGGGACGUGGGAUGGGAUACAUGUUACAGGCAUGUAGGGGGAUCUAUGAGGGACCUAUGGGGGUUCCAGAGAGAAUUCAGGAGGAGGGAGGAAUCCAUGAGUUGGGCACGAUCAAGAGAGAUCUGGGGGAAAUCGGGAUGGGAGGAAUUCGUUGAGGCGAAGUAUCUAGGAGGAUCUGUGGGCGGGGAUCCAUGUGGGGUCGGGGGAGGGGGGGGGCGGCAGAAUCCAGAGACUGGGAAUCCAUGGAUCAAGGGAAUUCAUGGCGGGGCAUCCCUGGACAGGAGGGUCAAUAGGGAUCCAAGACGGGAUCCAUUGCAGGGCUCAUGUCGGGCUCCAUGGGGAGAGGAUGGGAGGGGGAGACCCAGCACAGGGGUCCGUGGGAAGAUCCAGGGGGACCUCGAGGAAGGAUAUAGAUACAGGUCCGUUGGAAGAUCCAGCGCGGGCAGGUGUGUCCAGGGGUGGGGGAUCCAUGUGGGAUCCGGGGAAAUAUACGGGGGAUCCAGAGCGGGUCGAGAUCCAUGGGGAGGAGAUCCAGAGCCGGGGGUGAGGUGGGGCAAGAUCCAGCAGGGGAGUCAGGGUGGGAUAGAGGGAGAGAUCCAUGCUGGGGGAUCUGGGGAAGGGGGAGGUGGGGGUGAGGUGGGGGUGGAUGGAGGGGGGUCCAUGAGAAAUUCGUGGGGGGAGUCCAUGGGGGCUCCGGAGGGGUGCUUGGGGGCGGCAGUGUCAGGAUCCGUGGGGAGGGGAUCAGGGAUAACCCACCGAGGGGGCUCGUGGGGACAUCCGAGGAGAGCCGAGGAGGGCUAUAGAGAGGGAUCCGUGGGGGAUCCACGGGGUCAGGGCGUCCAUGUGGGAUCCAUGAGAAAUCCGAGGAGGGGAUGUUCCGUGGGGGACUGGGGGGGGGGGUGUCCAUGGGGUUUCCCCGGCUCAGGCUCCGGUGCCGGUUCCAGGUGCCGCGUCUCGGCAGCCGAGCGGCACCGGGGGCAGCGGGGACCGGGCGGGGCCGUCCCCAGGGACCGAGCGGGGCUGGGGCGGCCCCGCACCCGCCUGUCCGGGCCGGGG